ACCUGGGUGGCUCAGUCGGUUGAGCGUCCAACUUCGGCUUGGGUCAUGAUCUCACAGUCCGUGGGUUCGAGCCCCACGUCAGGCU
RNAcentral lists this transfer RNA (85 nucleotides) under Felis catus (domestic cat). It matches the Rfam family "tRNA". Rfam says of the family: Transfer RNA (tRNA) molecules are approximately 80 nucleotides in length. The record is from Rfam by way of RNAcentral. Lineage: Eukaryota; Metazoa; Chordata; Mammalia; Carnivora; Felidae.